GAUGAACGCUGGCGGCGUGCCUAAUACAUGCAAGUCGAGCGAACAGACGAGGAGCUUGCUCCUCUGACGUUAGCGGCGGACGGGUGAGUAACACGUGGAUAACCUACCUAUAAGACUGGGAUAACUUCGGGAAACCGGAGCUAAUACCGGAUAAUAUAUUGAACCGCAUGGUUCAAUAGUGAAGGACGGUUUUGCUGUCACUUAUAGAUGGAUCCGCGCCGCAUUAGCUAGGUGGUAAGGUAACGGCUUACCAAGGCAACGAUGCGUAGCCGACCUGAGAGGGUGAUCGGCCACACUGGAACUGAGACACGGUCCAGACUCCUACGGGAGGCAGCAGUAGGGAAUCUUCCGCAAUGGGCGAAAGCCUGACGGAGCAACGCCGCGUGAGUGAUGAAGGUCUUCGGAUCGUAAAACUCUGUUAUUAGGGAAGAACAAAUGUGUAAGUAACUAUGCACGUCUUGACGGUACCUAAUCAGAAAGCCACGGCUAACUACGUG
RNAcentral lists this ribosomal RNA (497 nucleotides) under uncultured bacterium. Its description in RNAcentral is "partial 16S ribosomal RNA". It matches the Rfam family "Bacterial small subunit ribosomal RNA", at positions 28 to 507 of the family's 1533-position model. The record is from RNAcentral.